This is a small nucleolar RNA of Onychomys torridus (southern grasshopper mouse), 123 nucleotides long. RefSeq annotates it as small nucleolar RNA SNORA31. Lineage: Eukaryota; Metazoa; Chordata; Mammalia; Rodentia; Cricetidae. The record is from RefSeq and is a predicted model, not a curated record. The transcript has a single exon.
CUGCAUCCACUGAUGGACUUUGAACAGUUAGUAGCUGCUCUUCUGGUUUGCUCUAGGAUGUAAAAGAAAAUGCUCCCUGAGCUUUCUGCAUGUCUUUGUAGUCAAGAUUGAAACUAUAUAGUU